CGCCUUUUUGUUGUUGUUGUUGUGCUAAGCUAAUAGGCAGAAUGCUACAGGUAUAGCUCUAAAGAAUGUAGCCUCAUGGGCAGUGUAGUCCGUGCUGCAGGGAGAAUGGACUACCAUACACGUUAUGUGUCUGUGAGCGAGGGAGGGAGAAAAAGGAAAAGUACGAGUUAUCAUCGAGCAGAAACGGGAGCUGGAAGCAUGUAAAUAUAAUAAUAACCACUGCAGCCAAGAAGAGUGCCUGACGAGCCCAGUUUGAACGGAGGACGUGCCAGUGGCCCUGGGACCUCAGGUGGUGGGUCGUUUUCACACUUUCUUUUGUACAGCACCGGGUGGGCUGCAGUGAUUUUCGUUUUGUGUGAUUUUCUUUUGGGUCCACGGCUGCUGGUAAGUCCAAGUUCCAUGAUUGUUUUAUUUUCACGUUAAGACACUGUCAACAAUGACGCUACAUUUUGGUUUCUAAUAUUUUAUUUAUUUUUAUUAUAAAUAAAACUGUUUUAAUAUUGGAGCCAACCUGCCUCGCAGUGCAUCCUUGAAUCUGUGCGGCCUCUUUUUAUUCCUUUUAUCUAUUUUUCUUAAAUAUAUUUCCUUGGGGUGAAAUUCCCCUAGGUGGCGUUGUCAUUUUAUUUCCUUUUAUCUAACCCCGCCGACCACUUGGUCACAUGAGGAGCAGGAUUUUGAAUUCAAUUCUGGAUUUAACAGGAAGCCAAUGAAGGGAAGCCAAAACAGGAGAAAUCUGCUCUCUCUUUCUAGUCCCUGUCAGGACUCUUGCUGCAGCAUUUUGGAUUAACUGAAGGCUUUUCAGCGAGUUUUUAGGACAUCCUGAUAAUAAUGAAUUACAGUCGUCCAGCCUGGAAGUAAUAAAUGCAUGAACUAGUUUUUCAGCGUCACUCUGAGACAGGAUAUUUCUAAUUUUAGAGAUGUUGCACAAAUGGAAGAAAGCGGUCUUACAUAUUUGUUUAAUAUGUGCGCUGAAGGACAUGUCCUGGUCAAAAAUGACUCCAAGGUUCCUCACAGUGUUACUGGAGGCCAAGGUAAUGCCAUCCAGAGUAAGAAUCUGGUUAGAUACUGUGGUCGCAAAUUUUGAAGCCAUCCUUAUAACCUUCUCCCACCAACAAUGUGGAGAUCCAACCCUUUUAGAUCCAAUUAAAAUCAAGACACUCAAAAAGAUGCUCUGGAAAAGAGCAGAAUUCUUAGAACAGAGUUUAAUACACUGAAUCAUAUGAACAGCAGGAAAAAUACAUACAGACAUUUAGCAAAACAAUUACAUAGCAGUAAGCAAGCCAAGCAAAACCCCGGGGUGUACAGCCUUAAGGACAGACAGUAGAGCAACACAGAGACAGACAGAGAGAAACAGCACAAGGGAAAAAAGUGCUGGGGAGUCCUCUGGUCCCCUAAUAUAUAGGGGACCAGCAUCCCCGCCCCCUGCUGCUGGGUAACUUUCUGACAGCAGUAAAUAAAAAAUCUCCCUGAGCUCAGUAUGUUUGUGACUCUGAGAUGGAGGUGAAAUCUGUGAACCUGAGCUGUGGUUUACUGCUCUCUUCCUGUCACAAACACUGUUUGACAUCUGUUCAUCUGUUGGUUUUUGUUCAGGCUGCAGGGAUCAUUUCUCACUGUGGGGAGCAGACUUAUAACAGGAGCAGUAGUAGGUGGCUGAAUGAUCGAGUUUAACUUGCUUAAUUUCUAACUCCCAGCCUUUAUUUGUAUUUACAGAAGAGAAGUCACUGAUCUGAGGAUGAGAUGAGUAACUUCUCUCUAUGUUACCGUUACUCCGAUCAAUAUCAAAAAUAACUUUGAAUGUUUCUGUUUCUUUUUUCUGGUACCAGUAUAUCCAGUCACGAUCGCACUGCUGAGUCCCUCCGCAGCUGAAGGAGACACUUUCUCCAACUCUCCUGGUC
Molecule: long non-coding RNA, 1895 nt
Organism: Oreochromis aureus
Lineage: Eukaryota; Metazoa; Chordata; Actinopteri; Cichliformes; Cichlidae
Source: Ensembl